This is a long non-coding RNA of Ochotona curzoniae (black-lipped pika), 262 nucleotides long. RefSeq lists it as uncharacterized. NCBI's taxonomy places the organism in Eukaryota, Metazoa, Chordata, Mammalia, Lagomorpha, Ochotonidae. The record is from RefSeq and is a predicted model, not a curated record. The transcript has 3 exons.
AUUGUAUAUCUUUUAGAACCUGUCAUUGAUACUGUCUCAACCCCCAGAUGUUUCAGAAGAAUGGAACUUGCUAUUAAUUUUAACAUAUUUUCUACCCAUUAACUAUGUCAAUUAAUUCCAAAUGUUAUAUAUGACACAGAGGCCUGUUGGGCUUUCACUGACCGGAUCUCACUCUGUUAUACCUAUCUUCAGACCAUAGAAGCUCCCCAAGAGGCCUCUGACUUAUCUGGACAUUAAAUACUCUGAACUUUAUUCUAGGCAU